AAGCAAUAAGUAAUCCACCUGGGGAGUACGAUCGCAAGAUUGAAACUCAAAGGAAUUGACGGGGGCCCGCACAAGCGGAGGAGCAUGUGGUUUAAUUCGAUGAUACGCGAGGAACCUUACCUGGGCUCGAACGUGAGAUGACUAUGGGUGAAAGCUCACAUCUCUUCGGAGCAUUUUACGAGGUGCUGCAUGGUUGUCGUCAGCUCGUGCCGUGAGGUGUCGGGUUAAGUCCCAUAACGAGCGCAACCCCUACCUUUAGUUGCCAACAGGUCAUGCUGGGGACUCUAAAGGAACUGCCUACGCAAGUAGUGAGGAAGGCGGGGAUGACGUCAAAUCAGCACGGCCCUUACGUCCAGGGCUACACACGUGCUACAAUGGCCGAUACAGAGGGCAGCUACCUGGUGACAGGAUGCAAAUCUCGAAAGUCGGUCUCA
RNAcentral lists this ribosomal RNA (434 nucleotides) under uncultured bacterium. Its description in RNAcentral is "bacterial SSU rRNA". It matches the Rfam family "Bacterial small subunit ribosomal RNA", at positions 855 to 1290 of the family's 1533-position model. The record is from RNAcentral.